AGUAGUAUUUAUCAUUAAUCAUCAUCUUCAUCAUCAUCAGAAUGUGAACAGCUCAACUUCACUGAACUCUGUCAGGCAUAUGCAGAAGUCCGUGUCCAGUGUUGUGAUACAGUUGAAGCUGUGAUCCGAUUGGUCAUCACUGCUCUGAUGGGCGUGGCUGCUGCGGCUGCUAUUGUUGUUUUGGUCAAUGACAUCAGAUCUUACAAGAACUCUUAAAGUUGAAAACAGAACAGAAAUCCAUAAAUAUUGUUUAAUUUCUUGGUUUCAAUUGUUUUAAUCUGCUAAGAUAAAAAUAUGUGAGCGCACAUACCAGUGCUUUCCUCUGAACUCUAUCAAAGGUUUCCAGUACAGUUGUGGCCAUAUUCUUCAAUAUUUCAUUUGAAUCUGUAUUGACAUUUAUUUUAUACUUUGUCAAUUACACUGUUUUU
Molecule: long non-coding RNA, 428 nt
Organism: Cyprinus carpio (common carp)
Lineage: Eukaryota; Metazoa; Chordata; Actinopteri; Cypriniformes; Cyprinidae
Exons: 2
Source: RefSeq, a predicted model, not a curated record